GACCUACGUUAUUGACAAUGAAGUAUAUGGUAAUGAUGAUGCUGGUACUGUUGAUAACUACAGGUAGAUAUAUACCAAUAUGAUGUAUUUCAUUUCAGUGCGUUCAAAAAUUCCUUGAUAAAUAAUCAAUUGUCUGUACUAGUUCAUCGGAAAAUGAUGUCAUGUCAAUCAAUCUGGUAUCACAAUGUUUAUCUAAGUAUUCUACAACCUAUUCAUUUAAUUUCAUGUGUUAUGCCUCACGUUGGAUUGCAACUGUUCUCUAAAUACAUAAAGAUAUUUCUCAGGUUUACGUGAGUCAAAUAAUAUGUAAACCAUGCGCACAACCCGAGUUUGUAAAAAUAUAUCAUCCAAAACCAAAUAUAUUAGUUAGUUGUGUUGUCUAUCUUCAUUGUAGCCCAGUAGACAACAUUUAUGUAUUGACAUACACUAUUAUUAGCUCACCAUGGCCGCCAUGACUAAAAAUGGAACAAAGGGGUAUGUAUAUUUUGGCUUAUAACUCUGAAACCAAAGCAUUUAGAGCAAAUCUGACAGGGGUAAAAUUGUUUAUCAGGUCAAGAUCUUUGAUAUUUUCAGAUAAAUCGGACAAUCGAUUGUUGGGUUCCGUUUUCGGUUAUUAUCUUGAAUAUUAUUAUAGAUAGAGAUAAACUUUAAACAGCAAUAAUGUUCAUUAAAGUAAGAUCUACAAAUAAGUCACAUGACCAAAAUGGUCAGUAGACCUCUUAAGGAGUUAUUGCCCUUUAUAGUCAUUUUUUACCAUUUUUUUGUAAAUUUUUGUAAUCUUUUACAAAAAUCUUCUCCUCUUAAACUACUGGGCCACAUUUAACCAAACUUAGCCACAAUUAUUAUUAGGGUAUCUGGUUUAAAGAAUGUGUGCGGUGGCCCAACCAACCAACCAAGAUGGCUGCCAUAGCUUAAAAUAGAACAUAGGGGUAAAAUGUAGAUUUUGGCUUAUAAAUUUGAAACCAAAACAUUUAAGGUAAAUCUUACAAGGGGUCAAGGUGUUUAUCAAGUAAACAUCUAUCUGCCCUCAUAAUUUUCAGAUGAAUUGCACAACUGGUUGUUAGGUUGCUUCCCCUGAAUUGGUAAUUUGUUUGGAAAUUUUUUCGUUUUUGGUUAUUAUCUUGAAUACUAUUAUAGAUAGAGAUAAACUGUAAACAGCAAUAAUGUUCAGCAAAGAUCUGCAAAUAAGUCAAAUGACCAAAAUGGUCAGUUGACCCCUUAAGGAGUUUUCGCCCUUUAUAGUUAAUUUUUAACAAUUUUCAUUAAUUUGGUAAAUUUUGGUAAGUUUUUACAAAAUAUUUUCCUCUAUAACUAAAGGGCCACGUUCUAUACAGUAGAGAAAACUGUAAGUAGCAAGAAUGAUCAAUAAAGUAUGAUCUACAAAGACAUCACCAAAACACAAUUGUGUCAUGAAUCCAUCUGUUUCCUUUGUUUAAUUUGCACAUAGACCAAGGUGAACGACAUAGGCUCUUAAGAACCUCUACUUUAUAUGGUCAGAUUUAUAAAUCAACUGUUAACAAGAUUGAAAAGCUAUAUAUUUUUUUAUUGUUUUAAAAACACAUAAUUGUCAAAUAUUAGGUAACAAGGAUAAAGGUUAUGGGUUUUCUAUGUUUUCUAUGUUUAUCAUUGGAACAAAAAAAGGGUACAUAAUCACAAAGUAAGCUUUAAAACCAGGACUAACUAACCAUUCUCCAUGAAAACUGUUGUUCAAAGUCAAGAAUAUGACAGUUGUUUUCCAUUUGUUCUUUUGUUAUACUAUUUUAAAUUUGUAUUGUUUUUCCUUUCAGAAAUUGUAGACAGUAGUUGUAUUUGCUUUAAAAUUUAUAAACCUGUGUGUUCCACAGCUGGUCGUACCCACAGUAACUUAUGCAGACUGCACUGCGUGUAAGUGUAUUUUAACGAAAGAGACACUACAUCAUUUUACAUGUAAAUGUACUAUUUCAGGUUUCGUUAAAUCAUUUUGUUUAUGUUGUGGCUGGCUAUACACAUUAAGAUACAAAGCGAUAUGAUAUGUUAUAACAUGUAAACAACAUCAUCAAUAAUAUGUACAAUUGAAGUUUAAACCAUAACAGUUACAUGAUCUUUAUAAUUGAUCAAUUAGAUAUUUCAUUAUUUAGUUUAUCAGUUUCUAAUUUACAUCAAGUCACGCCUUAAUAGCACACAAAUUAUGUAUACAUGUCUUUUAUUUGAAAGGCAUUCAAUAAACACGCUAAAUGCAUUACAAUUCAGUUUAUAAAAUCCAAAGACUUAUAAUAUUAUACUUUCUCGAUACUGAUAUUUAUAUCAUUAUUACUGAGAUGAAAAACAAUUGAUUUGGCACAGAAAAUCUCGAUAGAAGUCGCAGGCACAUGAUCUCAUACUAUGAAUUAUAUUUCAGCAAAGAAAUGUUAGCUUGCCAUGGUAAAUUUCCGUGUUCUUAAUAACACAAUGAGAAACGCAAGUAAGUGAAAGCAGAAG
RNAcentral lists this long non-coding RNA (2457 nucleotides) under Mytilus galloprovincialis (Mediterranean mussel). Lineage: Eukaryota; Metazoa; Mollusca; Bivalvia; Mytilida; Mytilidae. The record is from RNAcentral.